This 253-nucleotide ribosomal RNA is filed under the name uncultured bacterium. RNAcentral describes it as "partial 16S ribosomal RNA". It matches the Rfam family "Bacterial small subunit ribosomal RNA", at positions 524 to 776 of the family's 1533-position model. The record is from RNAcentral.
UACAGAGGGUGCGAGCGUUGUCCGGAAUCACUGGGCGUAAAGGGCGCGUAGGUGGCGCGACAAGUCAGUGGUGAAAGCUCGACGCUCAACGUCGAGUCGGCCACUGAUACUGUUGGGCUUGAGCACUGUAGAGGCUAAUGGAAUUCCGGGUGUAGCGGUGGAAUGCGUAGAGAUCCGGAAGAACACCGGUGGCGAAGGCGGUUAGCUGGGCCUGCACUGACACUGAGGGACGAAAGCUAGGGGAGCGAAAGGG